Molecule: ribosomal RNA, 492 nt
Filed under: uncultured bacterium
Lineage: Bacteria
Description: partial 16S ribosomal RNA
Rfam family: Bacterial small subunit ribosomal RNA
Source: RNAcentral
AGUGAACGCUGGCGGUAGGCCUAACACAUGCAAGUCGAACGGCAGCACAGUAAGAGCUUGCUCUUACGGGUGGCGAGUGGCGGACGGGUGAGGAAGAAAUCGGAAUCUACUUUUUCGUGGGGGAUAACGUAGGGAAACUUACGCUAAUACCGCAUACGACCUACGGGUGAAAGCAGGGGAUCUUCGGACCUUGCGCGAUUGAAUGAGCCGAUGUCGGAUUAGCUAGUUGGCGGGGUAAAGGCCCACCAAGGCGACGAUCCGUAGCUGGUCUGAGAGGAUGAUCGGCCACACUGGAACUGAGACACGGUCCAGACUCCUACGGGAGGCAGCAGUGGGGAAUAUUGGACAAUGGGCGCAAGCAUGAUCCAGCCAUACCGCGUGGGUGAAGAAGGCCUUCGGGUUGUAAAGCCCUUUUGUUGGGAAAGAAAAGCAGCAGGUUAAUACCCCGCUGUUCUGACGGUACCCAAAGAAUAAGCACCGGCUAACUUCGUG